GAUCCUGGCUCAGGAUGAACGCUGGCGGCGUGCCUAAUACAUGCAAGUCGAACGCUUCACUUCGGUGAAGAGUGGCGAACGGGUGAGUAAUACAUAAGUAACCUGGCCUUUACAGGGGGAUAACUAUUGGAAACGAUAGCUAAGACCGCAUAGGUGUCAUAGCCGCAUGGAGAUGAUAUGAAAUAUGCUACGGCAUAGGUAGAGGAUGGACUUAUGGCGCAUUAG
RNAcentral lists this ribosomal RNA (225 nucleotides) under uncultured bacterium. RNAcentral describes it as "partial 16S ribosomal RNA". It matches the Rfam family "Bacterial small subunit ribosomal RNA", at positions 15 to 244 of the family's 1533-position model. The record is from RNAcentral.